This 34243-nucleotide long non-coding RNA is filed under the name Mytilus galloprovincialis (Mediterranean mussel). Lineage: Eukaryota; Metazoa; Mollusca; Bivalvia; Mytilida; Mytilidae. The record is from RNAcentral.
GAAGUUUAUACAAAAGACGGAAAUUCUUUAUGGAUGAACAAAUACUUAAUGGUCACUGAAUUUAAAUCUUUAAACAUGGUGUAUGUUUUUCAACUCAGGUAAAAUCUAAAUAUUUUCCACGUAUCUUGUUUAUUUUAUCAUCUGUAGCUUUUGUUGUUUGAAAAAUAAUUUGUUAUACCUAGAGGAUUAUAAACAAAAAUAAGAAAUUGGGUAAUUCCCUGUGUGUACAUCUGUAAAGGAUAGUUUUCAAUGUUAACAGGUAAAUACUUUUGCUUCUAUAUAUCUGAAUAGUAUAUUAACUUAAUAUUUUCACAUCUAAAUUGAGAAAAAAGUUAUUUGGAGGAGAUAGUCAUAUAUAUCCAAGAAACAAUCAUUGAUGUUAGAAUACUUUGAAAAGAGAAAACAUAAGAAAUAAGUGGUGGGUGGGAGGUGUUUAGAGGGGGUGCACACAAGACAAUAUUCUCUGUAGGAGUCACCCUCAUAAUAUAAAUGGGAGCCUCUAUUUCAGAAAUUAGGAAUCCUCCCUCUUAAUACCUGGAUCUUCUCACAAAAAUAUUGAUGAGAACAGAUCUCCCCCUAUGGAGUGAAAAUCUCCUUACCUUAAUUAAAAAAAGUUAACAAAACAUUACGAUUAUCCCCCUUUGUAAAUGAAGUUUAGUUAUACAAAACCUUUAAUGAUCCUUGAACCCUUACAGGAUUUAGGAACUUGCAACUAAUUGAGGAUUUUAACUUAAAAAUGAGGUAGUAUAAAAUACUAAGAAACAAAUAAAAAAAGCAUUUAUAAGUCAGCGAAAAACUGCUGAACAUGACCAUAGACAAAAAAUAUUACUUAAGGUGGUACCCAACACUUUCACUAAAAUAAAUUUGGCUCGUUUAAUUUUCAUAAAAUUUGGUCAAAGUAUUUACUUUGACAUUUAAACAAAAAUAUAAAAAAUUUUAAAAAAUUGAACCAACUGUUUUGUCAGAAAAAAUACACUGGUUAUAUAGCAAUUUGACAAACACCAAUUUUGAUCAUUGAGAAGCUUCAUAUAUUCCUUGUACAACACAACGUAAUAAAAACGUUAAGCUGACUUUACAGAGUUAUCUCCCUGUAGUGUUAGGUACACCUUAAAGACAUACAAAAUAUUUACAAAAUCUUACAUAGAAAACUUAAUACUGAGCAAUAAGAACCCCACCAAAAAAUGGGGUUAAUCUUAAGCUGCUCAAGAAUAGUCAGACUAUUCCUUCAUAUCAUAUAAAAGAUAACAUAAUAGAAUACAGAAUUGAAACAGGGAAUGGGUCAAAGAGAUGAUAAACCAUCCAAAUAGCAGAAAACAGCCCAAGGCCACCAAUGGCUUUUCAAUGCAGAAAGAAAAUCCCAAAUCUGGAGAUUGGGUUUAUAUUGCAAUAGAAUUCACCUAUUUACCUCACCCAGGGUAAUUAAAAUAGUUUCAUUUAAAAGUGGACAGUUAUUUAGGAACCACAUCACUUGAAUAGUUUUCUAAAUAAUAUAUUUGACCUCUCAAAAGCCUGUAAUAUAGUAAAGCUAAAUGAGACGUUAAGACUUUCGCUUUGUAAAUGUAUUUCAGUUAUUCAAUUAUGCUUCAAAUCUAACAAAGGCAGGUGUUCAUAUAAUGAUGUUGUCGUGUUUUGAACUUGCAUUGACGGUUGAAUGUCUUAUCAAUGAGACAGCCAAUUAACUGUGCAUACUCUAUAUAUAUAUAUUACCUAUUAUCAUCUCCUAGUAUGAAGAGUCCACGGACAAACUCCAACAAAGAGAGAAGGUCUAUGCCCUGUAAUCUUAAGAAUAUAUGUACUGCUAUUUUUGGUUAUGUUUAUAGUUCAGAAACUGACAGUUAAUUGGAUAGCUGUCAAAUUAGAAGGAUUAAUUCUACUAUUAUGAUGGAACAAAUCAAUGGUGUUGUCUCUACUUUGAAAUUCUUCAGGAAUGGAAGCCAUUUGAAAUAUCUAGUCUCUACGAUUCAUUUAGUGAGGCCUGUAGUUAUGAAUGCAAAUCUUCAGAAACUGACAAACAUGCAUGAUUAAUAAGUUCUUAUAUAAUUCCAAUUGUUGUGCUUCUUCUAGAACUGUGAUAAAUAAACUGUUAAUUGUGCUUGGCUUAUAAAUGCAUUCAUUUUUACGAUAAAAUAUAAAGUAUUGGACAGACAUUAUAGACGAAAAGAUAAUUUAUUAGACAUCUAAGACUUGACCAAAUACCAAUUCUACUGGUAGAAGAAGAACAUCAAUUAUAUCUCUUUCCUUUAAUAUACAUUUUAUUUGUUAUUUCCAGUCAAUUUGUAAUUUUUGUCUCAUUGGAUGGUAUGUUGAUAAUAAGCUUAAUUUCUAUCCCAUUAUCAGUAAAGGAGACAGGAAUUGUCCUUGUAAUACUGAUUUUCUCUGCAGUCGGGCUGAGCUUCCUCCACCAGUACAAAAUGACUGGUAGGACCCUACAAUAGUGCUGAAAAAAUGCUUAAAACACCAAUUAAUCAAUCAAUCAACUUAACACUGUUUUAUUUCAUUUUUUACACAAUUUUCAUUUAAAGGUUUCUCAUACAUUAGGCGAAUUAGUAUUGAAAUAUUUCAGAUUAUCUGGGUUCUUUCAAUAAAUGAUGAUUUAUAAAAAAGAAAUUAUGUUAGUAACCUUGUCACCCCAUUGCUUUUUACUGGGCAUGGAACUAUUGUCUUUCCAAGUCUUUCCAAGGAACAGUGAAAUGUUCUCUGAAAUUAAGUGAAACUUCAGCAAAUGGUCUGUUACACUCAAUAUUGUUUGAUACUUCUAGCAACUAUCCAUAUUAAGAACAGCAAUAAAAGCUCUCACUCUGAUGUUUUUAUUAUUUCUAAAAAAGUUGAGAAUGGAUAUGGGGAAUUUGCCAAAGAGGAAAAAAAAUAAACAGGCUAGGCCACCAUUGGGUCUCCAACAGCGAGAAAAUCCCAAACCCCUAGGGGGGCUUCAGCUGGCCUUUAAACAAAAAUGUGUAAAUAUUAGUGAAAAUAGAUGUAUUUCAUAGGAUUUUUUUCUCAUCAACAAUCAUGUCUAUUAUAAACUUUGCUUAAUUGUCAAUUUUUUGAAAUUUUUCCAUUUAUGGCAUGUUUUAUAUACAGAAUUUGAUUUUAUAAUCAAAAUUAGCAAGGAGCAAGAUCAGUGCCACAGAUAAUGAUCAAUUAUUUGUUAGAAAUUAUAACUUCCACAUGAUAAUUAACAUUUGAAAAGGUUCAUUUUAAGAUAUCUGCCAUCGCAGACAAGAAAGGCUUGAGGAGUUUAUAUUUAUAAUCAAUAUGAUACUGGGGAUGAAGAUAAUUAAAGUAUAUAUAAAGGAAUAUGUAGGAAGAUUAAUAGAUAUAAUGGAGUCCAAAGAGCCUUGACAUUUUAUAUCAGAACAUCCAAAGACCAAAAGACAUCUGUACUUUACUCAUGUGAAUACUUGUCAAACCUAAUCUGAAUAAAUCCAGAAUAACUACCCCUGAAAAUGUUUAUACAAAACUAAACAGGAAUAUAUAGGAAGAAUUCAAGAAAUGAUGGAUUCCGGAGAGCCUUGAGAGUCUUUACAGUAAUGUCACACCUAAUCUGAAUACAUCCAAGAAACUGCUGAAUGCCAAAAGUUAUUUCAUAUUUUUUUACGUAGAGAUUUCUUUUUACUCAUAAUUAAAAAGGAAUAUAUGGGAAGAUUACUAGAUGUAAUGGAGUCGAUAGAACAUGCCAUUUUAUAUACGAGCAUUCAGAGACCCAAUACAUGUUGACAGCAAUUUACUUGUCUCAACUAAGCUCAAUAAAUCUAGGAUAUUGCUGAAUUAAAAAAGUUAUUUUAUUUAAUUUUAUAUAAAUUUACUGAUUUAUUAUACAUCCUUGAAAAGAAAUAUAUAGGGAGAUUAAUAGACAUAAUAGAACCAAGAAAGCCUAAACCUUAAUCAAAUAUUUUUUGGUAUCUCAGCGGUAAGUAUUGAACUAUCCUGGAUUUAUUCAGAUUAGGUCACACUAAAUGAUUAGGUGUGACAAUUAAGUAAAGUGCAGUCGACAGUGAAUGCAUGGUAUCUGAAAAAUUUUCAUAAACAAGAUUUUUUUCUCUUCAACUGGAGGACAAGAGAAGACCCUUGAAAAAGGGAUUAGUGUACUCCUGUCUGGAGGUUCACAUAUAUGUUGAUAAUGUCUUUUGAUCUUUUGCUAUUUAUAUAUAGGAUUAAACAUUUACUGUUACACUGAAUUCAGCAAUUGCAAGCAUGUCAUAGGAUUUUUGACAAAUCCUUUAUGUAUACUUUAUGUUGUGGGGUAGCUGCUCUCUCUGGUUUGCACCACAUCUUCUUUUGCUUAUUAUCUUGUCAUCUGAAUUACAAACCACCCUUAUGUAAUAUUAAUGUUCAAUAAUUUAAUGUUUAAGAAAAACAUAUUUUACAAACACAUUUUAACUGCCUUAGGCAUAAACAAUGUGUUAUUUUGAUACAGAAUGUUUUAAAACAUUGAUUGUUUUCUUUUGUAGUUAGACAUAAUGGAUUAAUAACAAGGAAAACCAGUUGUAACACUUGUACAGUUUUAAAUUGAGAAGAAAAGAUAGUCUGGUAAUUUUUGGUAAAUUAUUACAUUGUCAUUUAUGAAAAUGUUGUUAUUUUGAAUCUUCCUCCAUGAACAUUGUAAAUUCCAUAAUAUGUUUAUGAGGUUGUAUAUGGCAUUUAAAUUUGAUAAUAAUGUUAUUGCCUCUAUAACGCAAAUUCCUUAAUUGAAAAUUUCCUUCUCUUUUGAAAGUGAUUUUAAUGAAAUUUUAACUUAACUGACAGAUCGAUGUAGAAUUUAAUUCUUACAAAUUCUCACUUUAUUGGUUUUGAGCCAUAUCAACUCACUUUCAAUUUGUAUGGUGAAAUUUCAUUUCUAACAUUUAUACCCAUCUUGUUGAAGUGAGUUUAUUAAAUAAAUUUAUCCUUCCAAAGUUGUCAAAUUGAUUACAGCAUAGUUAAAAGUAUGAUGUUUACAAUGUUCCCUUAAUGAAAGUGAUAUGAAAAUACCAACUGAAUUAGAUAAAAGAAUGAAACAUGACAAAAUAAUGCAUUUCCCAACAUUGGAAAUAAUUGAUAUAACACAUGCAAUAGAUUCCAAAUAGAUUCCGACACAUACUGUUCUGCAUGAUACCAGACUAAAAGAAACGUGUUUCUAGCAGUCACGAAUUAUGUCUACCCAUAUUUCUAAUAAAACAGUAGAAAAGUUGAACCCAACUUUAAAUUCAUAUAUUAAAAUGCUAUAGAACUUGAAUCUUAGAAGGACAACAUUACCAACCAAUGACGGACUGUAUAGAUUAUCUUCAGUUAUUUUCAGAUUUGUCAAUAAAAUGCAGAAAAGAGAGUAACUUUUCUUAGAAAUACUGUCAUUUGUUGCCAAACAACGAGUACAAUCAUUGUACUGUCACCACCAAAAAAUAUGCACAUAUACAUACAGGCGAGACAUAUCUGUGUGUCAACAGUUUAUCAACAGGACAACUUCUAUAAAAAAAAAUUAGGCUAAUUAACAGGUAGUAGUCUUUACUGCAUCAUCAUCAGGUCAUAGGUAUUUAUUUUAGAACAAAAGUACUCUAUUGUAUAGCAUGCUAAUUUUAUUUGUUUUGGCGAUUUUUUUCUAGGUAUUUUCCACAAAUAGAGCUAUAUAUAUUAGCAUCAUUGAAUAUCUGAGAUAGUGUAGUUUAUUGAUUCCAUCAUUGCUCCUUGUCAUAUAAACCACUUGUCACAAAUGAUCAAAGACCUAUUCUAUAUUCUAAUGUCCCCGUUAAAUAUCUGUAGAACUAUUAAAACUGAAUUCUAGCUAUUUCCAGUUCAGUGUCCUGAUAUUGUUAUACAAUGAUUAAAUGAGACAACCUGACCUUUAAAUGGUAUAAAAUUGACAUUAAAAUGAAACAUUUCAACAAAGUAACUACGUAGAAUUCAUUUCGAAUGGCAAAUGGCAAGAUUUCAGAAAAUGAUACCUAAGACCUUUGGAAAUGUAGAAUUAUGUAAGGUUUUAGAAAUUAUAAAAUAAGAUACGAUUGCGGCAAUUUUAUACUUAAAAACUGUGCAGAACAAUGAGUUCUCUGCAGUUAUUUAAAUAUCAGUAAGAGAUUCUGCUAUUAUUCCCAAUAUCGUCGUUAUUUCAAUUUGUCAAAGAUGCUAGCUGAUUGGUUGAUCUGACAUUGAUUUUUGAUUGUAUGCAAUAAGGAAUGUAUGUUAAUACAAGCUUAUAUGGUCAAUUUUUCAGGUGGCCCUGAUUCCUGUCGACUUUAAUUAGGUGUUCUAGGUGCAAGAAAGAAUAUGGAUUUAUCAUAGCUCGGGUACGUACAUGUGUAUAGAUAUUGAUUUUAAUAUUGUUAUUCGCUUAAAAUGGUUGGUAAAAGAUAGAGCAUUGAAUUUUUUUCCAAUAUCAGAAUAUUUCUUAUUUUCAAUGCCAGUUGAAUUGAUUACUUUUGAUACCAAAUGUCAUGUUUUUUUUUAUAAAUUUUAAAUGAGGGACAGGAUGAAUCUCAUAAAAAAUAGAUUUUCCAAGAUAUUCUGCCACACAAUUUGAUAGAAUUUCAGUUUUGCCUUAAAAUCUAGAGACAAGUUUUGUCCAUCCAACAAACGUCAAGGAUCGGGAAUACAUAAAAUUCAGCAGUCUGAUACAUGUAUCAUAUUGUACUACAUUAUGGUUGUUAAGUUGUUGAAUCUAUAGUGCAGUUUGGUUAUAUUAGAACAAUAUUCCUACAUGACCUGCGCAUACAUGACAUAUGAACAUGUCUGAGUUAAAAAGAAGGUAUGACAUUCCUUUCUAAGGGAGCUACCAUUUGAUUUUUAGGGGGGGGGGGGGGGGGGCUAGGAUGAAAUUUGAAGAAAAAAGGCAGGACAGGAUUUUGAGUAAAAAAAAAGGCAGGAUGAGUAACUUGGCAACAACAAAAAAGACAGGAUGACAAUUGUUGUGAAAAAGUCAGGAUAAGCUAAGAAAAAAAAAGGCAGGACCGAAUAGACUGAAAAAUAAAAAGGCAGGACAGAGAUUACAAAUAAAAAAAAAGGCAGGACACAAUUUUUCAUCCUAGCCCCCCUAUGAUCUUACUUUUGUCUAGAAUUGAUUGAUUGAUUGUUCAAUGACCAAAACUACGAGGUCGUUUUUGCUGAAGCACAUGUCAAAUUAAUCCCGGUCUGGCAAACGGCUCGUUCAAAUAAAUUUCGGCCAGGGAAUCCCGCGAAAAAAAUAAAUUCAGUAGUGAAAGUGUUAAACCCCACUUUCAACACUAUUUUGCUUUUUUGUGGGGUUAGUUUUUAUUGGCAGAGGAAGCUUGAGAGAGUGGCCUGAAACACCAACCUAUGGUAUCUCAUGUCUAGAAUUACCAGUUUUCCUGCAAAAGGUGCAUUGAUCUCUAAUUACAGUAUACAUAGUUUCCCCUAUCAAUGAAACUGGCAGCUGUGGUAUAGCCAAAUGUACUGAAUGAACUGAAUGCGGCGCUAAGCACCAACAAUCAAUCAAUCCUCUUUGUUAUUUAAGAUGUUUCUUGUGUUAAAUGAUGUAUCCACUCAAAAAGAUUGUUAUGAUACCAUUAAUUAUUCAAAAUUGUUUUAUCCCAUUUCAAAGGAACUGUUUUUCUAUUUGCCUGGAAGAACUAUUUAUCUAUGCGUGUGAAGAAAACUGGUAAAUAGUGCAAUGGUAACACAAUGGUCUUUAAUUCUUUGUUUUCUAUUUGCUGUGAAGAACUAAGUAUGUGAAUAUAACUGGUAAAUAGUGCAAUGGUACCAUAACAGUCUUUAAUUCUUUGAAGUAGAUAUCAGAUCAAUAAAGUGUAUUGACUUUGGCAACUUUUUACAAAUAGAAAAUAUGGGUAUUGGACUUGAUGGAAACAAUAGACAUAAAUAGUUGGUAUUGAUUGUGUGUUAACUUAACUAACGUUACCAUCACUGUGGGAAUAGAUAAACAAAAACAAAAACGUAUCUUGUUGACUGUUUCAUAUCAGAUGCAGUUCCAUGGGGAAAUUUUCAAUUUACUGGUAUUUUAUGGGAAUAUUGUGCUAGUUUUUAGUACAAUUGACCAAAUGUUGCCCACCUUUUAAAGCUAGCUUUGUAGUACAAAAUGUUAUCUUAGUUUUAUAAAUUUUUGCUUUUUCUUCGCAAAAUUUUUAGAUUAUAUAACUUUUGCAAAAUUAGAAAUUCUUAUUUUAAUGUUUUAAGUUCUGAAAGUAUUAUUUGUGUGCUCCAUUAACCCAAAAUUGCAACAAUUGAUUUCACUUUUUUUUUUCUCCACUUGUCAAAAAAUCACUACAAAAAUUCAAAUUUACAGUAAAAGGAUUUGAUUUUCAUGCUCCUGCUGUAGCUGAGGGGGCAUUAAGUCUGUCUGUAUGUCAAUCCUUAUGUCCUAAAAUUGUUUUCCAUUCUCUAAAUUAUUUCAUGAACUUAUACACAAACAGUUUUAAAAUACAAAACUCAGGUCAAGUUUGAAUUUUGGUUGUGUCACUUUAACUUUUCUAGAGUUAUGCCCCUUAGCAAAUUAAAAAAUUGCAAAAUUUUCGUUCUGUCCAUUAGCUUAUGUUCGCCUCAACAAAUGUUAUGAAACUUAUAUACAAACAUAUUACUACAAAACAAAGAUCAAGUAGCAAUUAGGGUAGUAUCACUUUUACCGUCCGUGAGUUAUAUGCAAGUGGCGGCAUCAUCUGUGUCCCAUGGACACAUUCCCUAUUUAUUUUAACACUUUUAUUCUUACUCUUGUUUCCUAUAUAUGGUUAUUGUGCUUGUGACUGAGAGAUUUCUAAAUAAAUUCUUCUAGUUUAAUGUAGUUCAUUUAUGUCAAUCAACAAAAUAAAAAGAAUGAAGAUUUGAAGAUUUCUGUUUUUUGGGGUUUCCCUUUUUUUUCUUCAUAAUGCUGAAAUACAAAUUUUAUAGUCUAUCUUGAUUUUAAUUGCCUACUUGGUAUCAUCGCCUUCUUUUGAAACUAAGAUAUUUCAAUGACAUAACAACAUCACUAAAAUGGUUUAGAAUUGCAAUAUUAACUUCAGUUGAAUAUGAAUCUGUCCAUGUUUGUUUGUCAUAAAGCAAUAGCAGAUAUCUAGACAACAAAGAAACAUUCUGUUUUUGUUUUCCAAUAAACGUGUAUUGUUUCCGAAUAUUGACUUCUGUGAAAUACGAGUCUGAUCUGUUUUCUUUGUAAGUUACAUUGAUUCUGACAACAACAGAACAUUUUAAUCCACUUUGUGUUCGUGUGACGGACAUCUUGAUACUCUGGGAAUUCUAAUGAAAGAAUAUAAUUUCCAUACCAAAGCUUGUAUAAACUGUGCAAAUGAAUAUUAAGUAAGAAGAUGUGGUAUGAUUGACAACUCUCCACUAGAGACCAAAUGAUGUAGUAGUUGACAAUUAGGACCUUCAACAAUAAACAAAACCUGUUUGUCCUGUUGAUAUUGCAUGUGAUAACUUGUUCUUGUAUUUUGUGGUUGUGUUAUCCAAUUGCUGGGCAAUGCAAGCUUCUUUAAAGAUAAUUUGUUUCUCUGCUAUUAUAAAUUCAAUUUAAAUUGUUUAAUUUGUUCAGGUUGUCAUUAGAUAAACUGUCAUAGUCUUGUUGUGGGUAUGGAAGAAUGUCAAGGUCUUGCAAUUUUUCAGAAACAUUCACAAUAGGCCAAUAAUGUUAUUUCCAAAAGUAUUGGAACCCAAACAUUUAUAAAUAUUUUUUAGCUUCUGUUUAAUGGUUGCUGUCCUUUUAAAGUACAUCUCAAUGUACACCAAAUGGUUGAAUUCAAACCAUAAAGCCUAAAAAUAAAAAAAAUGCCAAGUCUGUCUAUGAUGACCUUGACUUAAGGGAUUUGAAUAUUGUUUUAUUGCAUAAUUUAAAAAUUAUCUUGAAAAAAUGAAACGCAAAAUAUUUCAUCUAAUUAUUUUGUUGUUGAAUAUUGCCAGUUGUUUUGUUGAUGUUUUUUAUUUAGUUUGACAAUAAACAAUUUUGAUUGAAGAGAUACGAUUGGUCAAUAAUCUUUUAUCUGUUUGUUCGUUGACACAUUUGACAAAUUGCUGAUACUUUUGCCAAUCCAGCUGUUUAUUAACCUUGGCUGUCUGUCAUUAAGAGUUUGUUUAUAAAAUGUAAUUAUGUUCAAUUAUUAAUCAAUAUUAAUUUGUAUGAAUGGAUCUUUUGAUGUUAUUUUAAUUGCUUUUAUCUCUUUCUUUGUUCACAUUCUAUCUGUAUUUAUAUAUGGACCAGCAGUAAUUGUAAACUAUUAUGGGACAUCGGUGCAACUUGCGUCAUGGUUGCUAAGAGGCUCCAAUAUAAAUGUUUUUGAUUUGAUAAUGAUUUUUCCUGUUGACAGAUUCUGUGAAAAAUCAAGUAUUUGAUAGAUUUUGACCUAUAAAUAUUUCACUGUAAAGGAGAUGUUUACUAUGUGCCAGAACUAGAACGUGCUGCAGUCGGUGAUAAUUCCUAAGUAGCAAAAUUAAUCUAUAAUAAACCUCUGGUACAAAACACUCUAAAAAAGAAUCAACAGCUAAGAGUAGUCUCCAGUCAGUGCCAGCUGAGGCCCAGCAGCCCUGGCUUGUCAUCACUACAAGCCCACAUAAUGUUUUCUAAAACCUGAGCUCCAGGCCUGGCACCACAUUUGAAAGUUUAUCGUGAAGACUGAUUCCCUUGACAAAAACAAAUACAGAUCUCUAGUAACAUAUUUGGACUAGCCAUAAUUUUCUACAGCUUGGUCCUAUGAUACACAAAAUUAGUAUUCAUGAAAAUAUUUAUUUCUUUUAGAUAUAACUUGAGAAAAAUAUUCUAGCAUUGUUGCUAUUUUUAAAAUUCCAGACUUCGAACUCUGCAGGACAGGGAAACCUUUUCUGCCAGAAAAUUGUCAUCUGGCUUCUGACAUUAAAACAUGAUAAAUCUGACUGUUCUAAUUAGAAAUUCUUUCCCCAGGGUUCUUCAUUGUCAAGAAUAAUGAGUUUAAUAACUGCUUUAUAAUAAUUAAUAUUUGAUGCUCACAGAAGUUAUUAGAUGUUUCAAUUUUCCUAAAAAAAAUUAUCAAUGAUCAAAACCACAAGGUUACAAUAUUGCAUAAUGGUAUGAACAUAUCUCUUAUUUAAAGCUGUGAAAUCAAAGAGUUUUUCUCUUUUUUUAUUCGUGCCUGAAUAUUUCAUUUUCGAACAUAUAAUAUUCCUAAAUUCUUAUCAAUACCUGAUAAAAAGAUAUUUCCUCAUUAAAUGUGAAAAAGAUGAUUGCUCUGUCUGUAUUUUUAGCAUUAAUUGUUUUCCAUAUUUUGAAAUAAAAAUGGGCCCUCUGUCACAAAACUGUACUCAUUACUUGGAGUACAAAAAAUGUGCCUGAAACACAUAAUCCAGUGUUUUGAUUAGUUGAUUUCUGAGUUUGAGCAUGGUUAUUGUGCACCAAAUUUUUAUGAUUGCCAGGCUAGAAUAUAUUUUUGAUAUUUUAACCUUAUAUUAUAAAAAUGUUGAUUUAUAGUUACAUGAUUUCCAGUGAGACAAUUAUCUACCAGAGUUCAAAUGGACUAGCUGGUAGUAAGCAAUUAUAGUUCUAUCUUUUCAUGUAAACAACAAACAGUAUAUUCUGCUGAUGAUUGUACUAGUAAUUAUUAUUCUUUGUAUGUGGGUGGAUCAGAUGUCAGUAGGCGAAUGUGUUGAUAUUGUUUUGUUUUUUUUUUCUCCUUUUUAUUUUUUAUACAUUAUAAAAAAUGUUAAAUCUUGCUGAGUAUUUUUGAAUGUCAAAUCUUGCUGAGUAUAAUGUCAAAUCUUGCUGAGUCGGUCAGCAUGCAAAAAAUAUGUCCAAGACUCCAAGCGAGGUUUUAAGUAUUUUUCAGAAAAAAUGAUGUUAUAUAUCUUACCAACAUUAUAGGCCAAUAAUGGGAAAUUAAAUAUCUUCUUCUUAAAUGUUGAACUUCUGAAGACAUAGACAAUUAAUGCAAUUUCCUACAAGAAAUAUUUUACAUCUGAAAAUGUCCAACUUUUACUACAAAGUUUCAUAAGACAUCAUAUGUGUAUUCAUGUGUUGUUGUUUUUUUUUUUUGUGUUUAUUAUUUAAAUGUACUGUAAUCAUUCUAAUCAUUUUCUGUACUUUAUUUUGUGAUUCAUUCAAUUGUAUAGCUCAAAUUUUGGGCACCAUGAUUGGUUAAUAAAAUUAUCUUAUCUUAUCUUAUAUCAUUGAAUAGAUUAUAAGAAAUCACAUGCACUAUAUAUAUAUAUAUAUAUAUAUAUAUAUAUAUAUAUAUAUAUAUAAUGAUUUUUAGUAAUGUAAUGAUUUUUAGUAAUGUACUGCCCCUCCCUUUACUUUGAGUCUUGUUUAUUUAGAAUUCAAUUAGAAUGUUACCCACCUGCAUAUUAUACUGUGAAAAUUCAUAAAUUGUUUCUCUGCAUGCAUGAGAUUAAACAAAGAGAUAAUAUCUUGGAACCUGAGAAGAUUAAAGAAACAAAAGGGUCAAUCAAAAAGACCCAAAACAAACUGAUCAAUAAAAGAAACAACAAAAGAUUGAGUAAAACAAAAACUGAUAAAAAACAGUGUUCCAGGGAUGAAUUGAAAAACCAAGGGGCAGUCACUUAAUUAUGCAUAAUAAAUGAGAAAACAACCCCAUAAAUGAAAUGGCAUUUGUAUAGAUACAUGUACCUUAUAAGUUAUAUGGUUUGCUACUGACCCCCUACAGAUCCAUAGAGGGUUAGUAAAAUCCAUAGGGGGUGACGUCGUAGGGGUUCAGUAGUGAACCGUAUAACGAGUUUAUCGCAUGCAGGACUUUUCCUGCUGCGUUUUGUAGAAAAAUAAACAAUGAAAUACAACAUCAAUAGACGACGUCACCAUUAACAGUAGGACGUGACGCCAUGAACCCCCUAUGAAAUUUACUAACCCCCUACAUUCUCAUAGGGGGUCACCACGUGAUAUUUUACCUGCUGUGCGAUAAACUGGAAUAUAUUUGUCCCAUAUUUAGGGCAAGAAUGAUUUAACAUAAUGCUGUCAAAUGUUGUUGCAAAUGGAAUGAAUUAGAAAUGCUGAUAUGGCAAAGCCACUGUUUUAUAUAGGUAUGUUAGGAGUAGCCUUUGCUUCCGGCAUCAAAAGCCUUCUUUUCACUACUGUUGGUAUCAUAUUAAUCUUGAAUCUGAUUGUCAUUAAAGCUGUCAGAUUGUACUUUUCAGCUACUAUUUACCGAAAAAAGGUUAAUGCAUGGUUAAUAUUAAACGAAAAAUUUGCUGUCAAUUUUCAUGGUUGCUACUUUAUUACCACCCUCAAUGCGUAGUGAUUUAUAUAUAUAUAAUAGAGGAAAUUGUCUAUGAAACAAAUAAUAACUAAUAUUUUAUGCCCCACUCAGGGGCAUAACCUGUUUCUGUCGAUGUGUCUGUUCAUUUGUUUGUCCUUUUGUUCGUUUGUUUGUCCCUCUUCAGGUUUAAGUUUAUGGUCAAGGUUGAUAUUGAUGAAGUUGAAGUCCACAAUCAACUUGAAACUUAGUACUAAUGUUCCCUAUUAUAUGUUCUUAUAAUUAUAAUGCCUAAUUAGACCCCAAUUUCACAGUCCAAUGUAUAUAAAAAUGAUAGUGUGAGUGGGGCAUCCGUGUAUUAUGGACAUAUUCAUGUAUUUUCAUCAAUUUUAUUGGAUUUUGCUUUUAAAUGUGAAUAAAUUCGUGAGAAAAACAGUUAAGAUUAUAAAGAAGAAAAUUCCACACAUCAUGUUGAGAGUCGGAAUUUUGAAAAAGUCAUUAAGUACUUCAAACUGUUAUGUACUUCUGCUAAAACAAACAUAUUAGAUAGAGAAAAAUCUAAAUAUAUAUAUUAAUACUCUUUUAAAUAACUGCUAAUCUUACUAUAUGACUUUUUCAAGGAUGGCACCUGCCUUAUUUUAGUAAUAAAUAUAGGUAAAAUUGAGAAUGGAAAUGCCAAAGAGACAACAACCCGACCAUAGGCGUCCUUCAGCUGGCCCCUAAACAAAUAUAUACUAGUUCAGUGAUAAUGAACGCCAUACUAAUUUCCAAAUUGUACACAAGAAACUAAAAUUAAAAAUAAUACAAGACUAACAAAGACCAGAGGCUCCUGACUUGGGACAGGCGCAAAAUAUGUGGCGGGGUUAAACAUGUUUGUGAGAUUUUCAACCCUCCCCUAUACCUCUAGCCAAUGUAGAAAAGUAAACGCAUAACAAUACGCACAUUAAAAAUUCAGUUCAAGAGAAGUCCGAGUCUGAUGUCAGAAGAUGUAACCAAAGAAAAUAAACAAAAUGACAAUAAUACAUAAAUAACAACAGACUACUAGCAGUUAACUGACAUCGCCAGCUCCAGAAUUCAAUUAAACUGACUGAAAGAUUAUGAUUUCAUCAUAUGAACAUCUGACAGGCACAAUCCUUCCCGUUCGGGGUUUAGUAUCAUACCAUCAUAACAUAUAUGAGAAGAACAUAAUCCGUGUCAUGCCAACAACUGCUUUUUGAAUAAAUGUGUUUAGUUCCGAUGCAAAAGACCUAUAAGUGAAUCAAUAUUAACGUCAAAAUAUGCAAUCUUUAAUGAACUGACAACAGUAUCGUAACUAUAUCCCUUCUUAAUAAGUCUAUUCAAAGGUUUUGUUAGUUUUUGAGGUGAAUACUGACACCUUUGUGCUUUAUAAAGAAAUAUUUCCAUAAAAAAUUGGAUGUGAAAUACCUGAACGUAUAAGAAGUAUGCAUGUUGAGCUAUAUUUACGAAUGAUGUCCUUAUACCGAUGAUAAAAUUUAGUAAAUGUUUUGACUAGUUUGUGAUAUUGAAAACCCUGGUGUAAUAAUUUUUCAGUAAUACAUAAAUUUCUCUCGUUAAAAUCUAAAACAUUGUUACAUACACGAGCGAAUCGUACAAGUUGAGAUAUAUAAACACCGUAAGAUGGUGACAAGGGAACGUCACCAUCUAAAAAUGGAUAAUUAACGAUAGGAAAUGAAAAAUCAUCUCUUUUAUCAUAAAUUUUAGUAUUCAGCUUUCCGUUAGUGAUAUAGAUAUCAAGAUCGAGGAAAGGGCAGUGGUCAUUGUUAGUAUUAGCUUUAUUUAAAUUAAGUUCAACAGGAUAAAUUUCUUUAAUAUACAUACUGAAGUCGUCAUUAUUGAGAGCCAAAAUAUCAUCCAAAUAUCUAAAAGUAUUAUUAAAUUUGUUUAUCAGAUGUUGUUUCGAUGGGUCUUUGCUUAUUUUUGUCAUAAAUUGUAACUCAUAGCAAUACAAAAACAGGUCCGCAAUAAGUGGUGCACAGUUAGUCCCCAUUGGAAUUCCGAUAAUCUGACGAUAUACGGAAUCCCCAAAGCGAACAAAAAUGUUAUCUAGUAAAAAUUCAAGGGCGUAUAUAGUAUCAAAGCAUGUCCAAUUGACAUAGUUUUUUUGUUUAUUGCUACUAAAAAAUGACCUAAAAGAGUUUGAACAUAUAUAUUCACAUUCUGACUUUUUAAAUGCCCAUUUAAUUAGGUGUGUGAAUUUUUUCUCAAUGAGAAUGUGAGGCAGUGUGGUAUACAGGGUAGAAAAAUCAAAACUUUGAACAGAUUCAAAAUCACCAAUAUAAGCAUGCAAUUUAUCAAGUACUUCCAACGAGUUCUUGACACUCCAAAAGUAAUUAAUUCCACUAUUUUCGAAAGCCUUAUUUGAACAAUUUAUUAUCAGGUUUUUAAUUGUACGAAGGUAUAUAUUUGUCAGAUGAUAAUAAAUGUAUAUAUGCUGAAGCUAUAUAAUCAUUUACUAUAGAAUUUUAAAAAGAAGUUUGCCCCUCUCUUUUUUGAGUGAGCAUACUUCUCCUUCACUGAAUUGUCCUUAUAGUUGUCAUAUUAGAAUUAUAUUUUAAAUUCCACAUGAUAAUAUAAACUUGUAAAUUGGUCGAUUUCGGUAGUAAUGGUGAUGAUUUUCUUGUUGGCAGUUAUCACUUCUAUAUUUGAACAAAGUCUGUAAAUAAACUAUUAAAAAAAAUAUCUAUGAGAACAAUUAAAAUAAUGAUAAGUAUUUCGGUGUGCCAUGAGCACAUAGCACCAGUGUUCAGUGAUUAACUUUCAUUUGAGGAAGAUGUUUUAGAAAAAAAUGUUAAUGUGAGCUUCUGCCAUUACUUGGAGUCAAUUGUUAGAGGCAUCUAUUGUUGUUGCCAUAAUGGACAUUAUUAAUUUUUCAAGGAUCUACUCAAAAACUACUUGAUGAUUUAUGCUCAUAUUUUAAUGUUAUAAGCAGAUCAAUCAUUUGACAAUAGAGAUCAUCUAAGAUGGAUUUGAAGGGGAAAGUUGACUUGUUUUGCCAAGUUUCUGGAAAGCACUAAAACGUUAUAUAUAUUCUAUAAAUUUGAAUAAAAAUACUGCAAUAGGACAUAUUAUUUAAGUCUAUUUUGAUAUUGCACUUUUCAACUCAUCUUCUUUACUUGACUUGACUUAAUUCACUUCGUCCCAUUGGACACAUGGCAACUACAGUAGCUUUUCGUCUUGUCCUGUCCUUGGCUAUUUUCUUUGCUUCUCCCUAUGUUUUACCAAUUUUCUGUAGAUCAUCAGAUGUUAGAUCUCUGUGCCAGGUGGAUUUUGGUCACCCUCUUUUACUAUGACCCUGGGGAUUCCAGUCUUAAAUGCCUGUUACAUUUGUGUUGUUUUUACGUAACGUGUGUCCAGUGUAUUGGUUCUUGUCUAGUCCUUUUCCAUAGUUCUUUGUUGCUGAUUGUAUUUGGCCACUUGAUUCCAAUGAUGUUUUCUAAGACACCUGUUCAUGAAAACUUGUAAUGUUUUGGUAGACGCAGCUGUUAGUCCCUAUGUUUCUAACCCAUAUAGAAGUAUAGACUUUACUUUAAAGUUGAAGAUCCUGAUUUCAAUGUUUGUUCUGAGUGCUUUGCUCCUACAGACUGGCAUCUCUCAUUUUGGUAUUGUUAAGGUGGUUCGGGUUUACUCUCAUAGAUUUUGUCUUAAUUUUCAUUUAUGUACAGUCCUACUUGUUUUGCAGUUGUUUCAAGGUUGGUUGCUCAUCUUCCAUCCCUCACAAAAAAUAAAUCGAUUUACAUGUACUUUAGAUAGACAAGAAUGCAGAUAUGUUUUUUUUCAAAUACAUAUUAAAGCUGCUUAUUAAAUAUGUUGACCAUUUGUUAAGUUAUGCAAGUUUGUUCAUGUACCCUGUGAUAAUAUUGGAAAUACAUGUAGAUAAUACAAGACCACAAACUGUAUAGAAACUUGAAGCUUCUUAUUUAAAUCUCUACUCAUUGAAAAUGGAGAUUUUAUUUGAUUAUUGGACAGUAUCUUAAACAAAUAGAUUACAUCACCUUUUAUUGUAUUUGCUCAAUUGAAAUUUGUGUUCAGUAUGUGUCACUCAAACAAUUUAAUCUUUUUUCACAUUCUGAGAGAGAUGUCCUGAAAGUUUAUAAUCUAAUAGUGUGAAUUUAACAAAAAUAAGCAUAAAGUUUAAAUGUAUGUCACCAAAUUUAUUUAUUUAAUUGUCUUUGGUUUAGAUUCAGUAUAAUUUGUUUCAUUUAGAUGCAAUUGAAAGCUUUGAUUUUUUUGGGGGGAUUUUUUUUAUUUUUUUUUUUGGGGGGGGGAGGGGUAAUUUUGAUUAAGUGUCAGAAAAUAACAUUCUUUAUGUCACCUGUUGCUAAUUACAGGUAAAUGGUACAAUUAUUAAUUAACAUACAGAAACCACCUGCCUAUUAUACAGUUAAAUCACCAAUAAUUAAUUAGAUCCAUAUUGAAUAUUAUGAUUGGUGGUUAUAAUAUUUGUGAAUUUAGUGACAGAUUCAUAAUUAAGUGACAGUGUUUCAUAUAUUAUAAAAUCCAUAAUCCCUGGAGACGUCAUAAUACAUAAUUUGUAUUGAUUAUAGACUACGGACAUCAAUCGCCUUAUGGUAGAUCGGGAACAGAGGCUUCAUCAAUAAUAUAUCCCAGAAUGCAAUGCGUCUAUUGAUUACAUUCACAGCAUCAAUCAAUACUAUCUAGCUUUGGUGUUGUUAUCAUGGAAAUUUUGUCUUCAAUGUGAAAAUGGAUAAUUUUUCUCUAUUUCCAAAAUGUGACAUGGAUUAUUAUUAAAGUUUUGUGAUUUUAAUCAAACUUAUCAGAUUUGUAAAUUAGUGACCACAACAGGCAGGUAAGAGAGAAUGUAUGGAAGCACAAAAAAUGGAUGUUAAAAUUAAAAUAAUUAUAAACUCCGCCAUUUUCCACUAUUGAUUUUUGGUCGGUUUAUGGAAGAAAGUUGUUUUGACAUUUCUGGAAGAGAGAAUCCUUAUGACAGUUUUGAACUUGAGAUCUGUAAUUUGUUGCUGAUGAUAAUUUCAUAUAUUUAAUCAAAUAUACUCAGCAAUUAUCUCUAUCUUAAACAAAUCAUUUCUGUUGUGAAUUUAGAUAUUGUAUGUAUUAAUAAUUAAAACAAACACCUCUUAGAAAUCAUUAAUUAGCAUAAAAUAUAUAUAGUUUGAUUCCAUGAGGGUUUUUUUACCACCCCAAUUUUAAUUAAACUAUACUAUCCUGUAGUAUAUGUCAUCAUAUCUAUAAAUAUACAAAUGAAACAUAUUAAAUAAUCUGUUUUUAAAUUUCUUUAAAUAAUAUAUUAAACUGUACCAAUUUUAACGCACAAGAUGCAAAUUUUCAACAACUAUAAUGUCCCUUGAAUGAUUCUCUAGGCCAAAAUAUUAAAAAUCCAAAUCCAAGUUCAGAGCUGACAUUCAUGACCAAAAAGAACCAAAUUUAUACAGCCAAACCUAGCCAAAAACACUUUUUAUUUUUCAGAGAAUUUGUUAUUUGAUAUAUAUGAUUUAAGAGUUUUUUUUAUAUUGAAGAAAAUAUUAAAUGUUCUAUUUGAUUUGAUUAGCCUAAUAAAAAAAAUUACCUAAUAAUAAUUAUAUAUACAUGAAUAGAAACAUAUUGACCAUUGAUUUGAGUUUCUCCGCUCUGAUGUUGAGUAGGAUCUGCUUGCCCUUCCAGAACUCCUGAGAUCACCACUGUUUUUAUAUAGCAUUAAAAUCAUUAGUUUUCUUGUUGUGUUUGGUUUUUUUUUUGCUUCUCUUUUUUUUUGCCAUGGCGUACGUUGUCAGCUAAUUUUCGACUUAUAAGUUUGAAUGUCCCUUUGGUAUCUAUUCCUUCUCUCUCUCCUCCUUUUCCACCUUUCAUGUUUGAAGAGGGCAAGGUUUUCAUCAUUUUCUCUUCUUGGCACAUUGUAUUUUAAUUUCAUAAUAGAUUUAAGAAAAAUUCAGAUUCCAGGGAUAUCUAGUUAUAUCAGUCUUUACGAUGAACUAUUAAAUCUACAGACCCAGAGCUCAAUUUUCAAAUUUUUUUAGUAAGAUUCUGUUGGCCUGUAGAUAUGAUUUUUACAGGCCCGAGAGCAAUUUUACUAGCCUGGGCUGCCACUCAGCGUGAAGACUAGUUAUAUUCAAAUAUCUUUUGGACAAAAUCACCACAGGGUGAGGGAGGGGGAAUAUUCAUUCAUGGCACCUCAAACUACAACAUGUGCAACACAUAACAUACAUAAGCACCCCUGCUUUUAAAAGAGUUUCUCAGAGUAGUAUUUUCAGGGUGUUUUUUUUUUUUUUAUCGCUUAUCCAGAUUGAAUAGAGGGAGAUAAUUUUGAUAAUUUGAUAAAAAAAAAAAAAAUAGAAUUAUUCACAAAAUAAAUUGAUAAAUAGGAAGGCUUUUUUCCAGUUUAUUGAUGUAUGUUAAAUGACAAAGUACAAUUUUCUGAAUUAAGUAAUAACCAUUAGUUUUAUAUUAGCUUUAACAUAAAACAUAAUUUAUGAUCUGAUAUUUUUUCCUUAUUUCUGUCAGAUUUCUCAAUUUUGACUUUCAAAGAAAUAGAAAAUAAAUCCUAAUUUAGUGGUUUUGAUAAUAGACAAACUUCUCCAUAUUUACCAUAUAAGAUGACCUUUGUGUAACUUUUGCCUCUGUUUUGGAUAUGUUUAUGGAUUUGGAAUCUGUCAUCAAAUUGAUACAUGUACCUUUAAAACUGCCUUUGUAAGGCAAUAAAUAAUAAUGAAUUGCUUUAUUAUUUAGCCUUUGUUCUGGUUUUAUUGACAACCCUCAUGAAAAAAAGGUGUCUGAAUUCUGUCUGACAAGUAUUCUUAAUUUUUCUUAAUUUUUUCUGAAUUAUGUCUGAAUGGCUAAAAUAAUGUACAUUUACGCAAAUGUCUGAAUUUUUACUGGAUUUCGGACUUUUAAGGAACAAUUCAGAAUUUUCAUAUGAACAUUCAGACAAAAAUCAGAAUAGCAUUCAGACAAAAAUCAGAAUUAUGUAAGAAUGAAUUAAGGCAAUAUUCAGAAUGAAUUCAGAAAAAUCUGAAUUUAAUCAGAAAGAUUAAGAAAUAAUCAGACACAUUCAGAAAUAUCCAGAUAACAUUCAGAAAUAUCCAGACAACAUUCAGAUGGAUUCAGACAGAUUCAGAAGAUUCAGAUAUAUAUUCAGAAAACAUUCAGAAUGUGGAUAUCCAUACAAAACUUUGUAACUUAUACAACAGAUAUUCCCCUAAAAACCUAAAAAGAAGUUCUUAAAGUUGAAUGAAAAUCAAUGUAAGCACAUUGAUGAUGGUCAAAUACCCUUAGCCUCUAUUCAAUAAUAAACAAAAUCCAAAUUUUCAGGAAGUUUGCAAAUUAAUAGUUUCAAUAACAUAAAAUUCAAACUUUAAAUUUUCAAUUUAAUUUUAUUAUCUGAUAUGGAUCUGUGAUUCCCUGGUCUGUUCUUUUCCUGUCUCUCGAGGUCUCCAUCUCUCUUGUGACCUGAAUAAAUAAAAAAACAAGCUAAUAAAAGAACAGAACUUCAAUGUCUCUUGUGUUGCAUUUUUCUUGUCUGCCCAGGGACAAUAACUAAAAUUCCACAAAUUCUUGUUUGAACUGUUAUUAAAUCACUAUGAUAUUUCUUCCCGUUUCCCUAAAUCCAACCCUUGACAUUGAUGAUGUAAGCCAUUGAUAUACAUUUUAUAAAAAUCUGGCAUGAAUUGCCACAUGACAUGUACCGGUAUGAGUGCUAUUUUUCUGUAUUUAAUUAACAUUAGAAAAACAAAACAUUCUUUGAAUGGAACUUUGCCAUUAACAAAUACACAACUUCCUAGUAUCAAGAAAAUUUUAAUUAAUUUUAAUUAUAAAUGGUCAUAUAUCUAUGCAAUUCUUCAAUCCCAUAUGCAAUACAUGUAUUUUUUUUGGGGGAACCAAUUUUUGGGACAAAUUCAGUUGACUUUUAAAAUCUUUGACCUUGACCUCAUAAUUAGUUGCUGAUUUUUUUUUUAUUUAUAGUUUAAUGUAUUAGUUUUAAUGAAUAUGCAAUUAAAGAACCUUAGUGAUUUCGCUCACAUACCCCACAUCCCCACAUUUUCAUUUGAGAAAUAAAAUAAGUGCAAGAAUAAAAAAUUACCGGUAUAUCAUAAAAAAAAAAUUGAAUUAUAAUUUCCUUAUAUGUCCUUAUUAUCUACAAAGUUUCAUGAAAUUCUGUCGUGUGGUUUCAGAGGAGUUGCAAUGACAAACUGUUGCAGUAGUACAUUGAAGCAAAUAAGUUCAAAGGGGCGUAACUCCUAUAGAAAAAAUUGAAUCACAAUUUCCGGUCAAUAUGCACAACUACAUAGUAUUUCCUUAUUAUUAUCCACAAAGUUUCAUGAAAUUCUAAAUGUGGUUUCAGAGGAGUUGCAGAAGUACAUUAAAGCAAAUAAGUUCAAAGGGGCGUAACUCCUAGAAAAAAAUUUGAAUCAUAAUUUCAUGAUGUAUGUCCUUAUUAUCUACAAAGUUUCAUGAAAUUCUGUUUGUGUGGUUUCAGAGGAGUUACGAUGACAAACUGUUGCAGUAGUACUAGUACAUUAAAGAAAAUUAGUUCAAAGGGGCAUAACUCCUAGAAAAAAAUUAAUAAUUUCCUGUUGAUAUGCACAACUGCAUUAUAUGUCCUUAUUAUCUAAAAAGGUUUUAUGAAAUUCUGUUGUGUGGUUUGAGAGAAGUUGCGAUGACAAGAAACGGGACUGAUGAACUGACAGAUGGACAGACCUGACAGACAGAUAGACUGAGACAGGUCAAAAACAUUAUACCCUCUGCAACUUCGUUAGUUGCGUGCGGUAUAAUUAAUGUAGGAAUUAAUUAUUUCAAAUAUAUGUGUCAGUGUCAUAAAUAAAUUUAAGGCUUUGCUUGUUGUUAAAUUUAAAGGCUGUAUGGUGACCAUUAGCUAUCAUUGUUCUCAUCUACAUUUGUACUGCAUUCAUAUAGUAGAUAGUUGUCUCAUUGGAAAACAUUCCACACUUACAGCUUAUUUUUAUACUAUUAAAACUAUAAAGCAUGUACAUACCAGAUUCAAUUGAUUUUGCACCAUUUUUCUUUUUAAUAGUUCUGUUCAAAAACAUGAACAUUUAGUCGGAUGUCUCUUUCACUGACAUCUGUGGAACCAAUUCUAAAAAAUUAAAUUAAAAUAUUAGUAUCAAUACUGACACCUAAAUUUAUGAACUCGUAUAAAAUAUUCAACAGUUGUCUUAAAGUGAAAUUCAAAAAGAGCCAUCAGAAAACACUUAUCAAAAUUUGAUGGGUUGUGUUUUUUUUAAGAAAGAUAUUGGAAAUAUAAUCAACUAAAAGUUUUAUCAGUGUUGAUUUAAAACAAAAAGUGUCUUUCGACCCUUUCACUUAGAACAGAACAGCCCUUACUGUGAUUUUAAAUAGAUUAAUGCACAAGUAACAUGUGCAACAACGGUAAUAUAUUAAUAAACCGAAGGUAAGAAUAUCUAAGUGAAGUACAUUGUAUUUGCCACUGGAUGUAAAGCAAAAAAGUAAAUAUUUGUAUAUUCUUAUAAAUUGAAAGGUUCCUGUGUCUCAUCUCUGACAUUCUUACCUCAAAACAAUUGGUACUUUUCCACAUUAUCAUAAACACAAUGAUGCAGAUCAUCUUUCAUCAAACUUCAAAUGGCCCAGUUCUUAAAAAAGAAGAGAAUAUUGUUUUUUAUUGGUACAUUGUAUAAAAAUUGAUUUUGUUAUAAGUCAAUUAAAACCAUACUAAAUAUUAUUUUAAACACAUGCACAUUUAACUGUUCAAUUUAAAAAAAAAAUAGUAAUGGUAGGUACAUGUAGGUAUUGAUUUAAUUAAGCCUACUUUGGUUACAUCUUCUGUCAUCAGACUCGGACUUCUCUUGAACUGAAUUUUAAUGUGCGUAUUGUUUGCGUUUACUUAGGGGGAGGGUUGAGAUCUCACAACAUGUUUAACCCCGCGCAUUUUGCGCGCCUGUCCCAAGUCAGGAGCCUCUGGCCUUUGUUAGUCUUGUAUUAUUUUAAUUUUAGUUUCUUGUGUACAAUUUGGAAAUUAGUAUGGCGUUCAUUAUCACUGAACUAGUAUAUAUUUGUUUAGGGGCCAGUUGAAGGACGCCUCCGGGUGCAGGAAUUUUCUCGCUACAUUGAAGACCUGUUGGUGACCUUCUGCUGUUGUUUUUUUUCUAUGGUCGGGUUGUUGUCUCUGACACAUUCCCCAUUUCCAUUCUCAAUUUUAUACUAUAUUCUAUGUGCCUGUACCAAGUCAGGAGCCUGUAAUUGUGUUUUGCUGUUUGUUAUAUUUGUUUUUCUUUUAAUGUUUUGCAUAGUUUGUUAAAAUAUUGUGUCAUAACACCACUUUCCUGUUUGGUGCACUCAAAUUUAGUUCAAUUCCUCCACAUUCUAUAUGUGCCUGUCCAAAGUCAGAAGCCUGUAGUUGAGAGUGGUUCAGGUUGUUGUUGUUUCGUGUACUGUCAAUUAUGUCUUGUUUUCGUUAACUGUUUUGUAAUAAAUUGGACUUUUAAAUUUUUUAAAUUGAAUCGUUUCAUAUUGUAAAUGUUCUUGUCAGGAUUGUCAAGACCAAUUAUUGCCAUAAUACAUGGUAUAGGUUUCAUAGGCGGAUCCCAGGGGCCCUAGUUUUUAGUGGCUUUGAACUAGCUGUACGUAACUUUAAGUACUCUCAGAUCAGUACUUAGUAUCUUUUUUUUUGGAUAUUCAAGUACCCCAACCACGUCUACUCUGUUUUUGCUACCGGUAGUUGUAUUUUUUUUGUAUCCAUCUGAUGAGUUUAGCAAUUUUUUAACAGAUUUCUAUAGUUCAUUCUUUUGUGUACUGUUACACAACUGUCCUAUGUUUAGGGGGAGGGGAAUUCCUGCUAUGUGUUUAACCCCACCACAUUCUGUAUGUAUGUGCCUUUCCAGAGUCAGGAGCCUUUAAUUCAGUGAUUUGAAAUGUUUUACAUUUGUCAUUUUGGGGCAUUUUAUAGUCAGUCUAUUUGGUACAGGUGUUGCUCAUUGUUGAAGGCCAUACAGUGACCUAAAGUUGUUAAUUUCUGUGUCAUUUGGUCUCUUGUGGAGAGUUGUCUCAUUGCAUAUCAUACUUAUACAGCUUAUGGCUAUUCCUGGCUGACCCAAGAAUCUGUCUCGCAUGAACUAUUGGUAUCAUACAACAAUCACUUUUCCAUUGUGGUGUCAGAUGUUUUGUAUUAUGACUUCAAAACUUUACGGGAACCUCUGUGAUGUCCACAAAUAGUGAUAAGGUGUAUAUUGGUAAUUGUAAUAAGUUCUGUAAAUUCAGAAACUAUUUCAUGCAUUUAUUGAUUAAGAUAUUGUCAUUUCAAAAUAAAGUGUGAUUUCAUAGUGGACUAUACAGUAUGGGCUUUGCUCAUUGUUGAAGGCUGUACAGUUACCUAUUAAUAUUAUUGUUAAUUUCUGUCAUUUUUGGUCUCUUUUGAAGAGUUGUUUCAUUGGCAAUCAUACCAGAUCUUCUUUUUUUUAAACUGUCAGACGUCAUAAUUAUUUCGACUAUGUUUACCCUAGUCCCCUAGUCCAAAUAAUUAUGACGUCUUGAAAGGCUAUUAUAUUUUUUUUCCUUGACAACAAAAAAAUAUAAUAGCCUUUCAAGAUGUCAUAAUUAUUUGGACUAUGUUUACUCAUAUAAUUUAUAAUUACAUGUUCAUUGUUGUUUUUAAUUUUGCAUAGUAUAAUCUGACUUAUAAUAUAAGGAAACGGCCAUUUGAUAUUCUGUCACAGGAGGAGGCACGAUUAAUUUUGGAAUAUUUAUUUUGUGAUUCCUGAUUGUUUUAUUUUUUAGUUGUCAAAAAAGAUAGUUGUAAAUAUCCUUUAUUUUGGUGUGUAAAGUAAUUUUUCAUUCUGAUACCUUUAAAGGCAAGGCUAGUCCAAAUAAUUACGACGUCUGGCAAGGCUAUUUUAUCUUUUUUCUGGGACGAUGUUAGUCCAAAUAAUAACGGUAUAACAUCUGGCAAGACUAUUUUAAUUUUUUUCUGGGACGCAGUCGUAAGAAGGUGUCCCAGAAAAAAAUUUAAAAAGCCUUGCCAGACGUCAUAAUUAUUUGGACUAGGACGAUGUCAUAGGCAGGCAUCAGGCCGGGCCAGAUGUUAUAAUUAUUUGGAUCAUCCAAAUAAUUAUAUACAUCUGGCAAGGCUAUUUUAUUUUUUUCUGUGACGCCGUCGUAGGAAGGCAUCCCCCCAAAAAAAAAAGCCUUGCCAAACGUCGUUAUUAUCUGGACGAGAACGAUGUCAUAGGAAGCCCCCCCCCCCCCCACCCCCCAAAAAAAAAAGCCUUGCCACACACAGGACAUAGGGCAUGACAAGAUUAUUCAAUUUCCAAAUCCCCUGCCCCACCCACAAUAUUAAAUGGCCGUUUCCAAAUUAAAAAAUUAUCAUUGAAAUGGACACAUAGUCAUACCCCAUAAUCGUUAUUGGCACUGCUUUUUGUAUAGCCUGUUGUCACUUGCAGUUGUUGAUAUUUGUGUUGUAUGUGCAUUUGGAUUUACACUGACAGUUUACAAGUUGUAGUCAAUUUCCUGGGCAAGUAGAAAACCAUCUUCUGAAUGGCAGACGUCAUUUUUUCCUUUAUAUCAAGCUGUUAUACAUAAAGGUUCUCGUUUAUCUUUAAAAUAUCUGUCCUGCAGCGUUCAAACGUUGUCUGCGUCACACGAUCUAGAUCUAACAUGAAAACCAACUCCGGAUCAUUUUCCGGAUUAUAGACGAUUACGUUCACCGAUUACCAUGAAAUCGCCCGCCGAGAAUAAAUAUAUCGUACAUGGAAAUUUUUACUUUAUUUCUGAAACUAAUAUAACACACGUGUUAUAGUUGUCUCAGCUGUCUUGUAUGAUUAAUUUAUGGAGGUUUUCAACCACUAUAAAUAUCCGUCUACUUAAAUUUCCAGUUAUAUCAUAUGCCCCCUUAUAUACGUUUAUAAUGUAUUUACUGGAACUAUUAUACUAACUGUUAUUGUAAUAGUCCUAGGUUUUUACCACAGACGUAUUUUUACGUAGCAAGUUCAACAAACGGACAAGAAAAAAGGGAUUUUUUAGGGCUGCAUUUGUCAUAAAAACAAUUAACCUACAAACCGACUCGCUGUGAGAAAAACGUCACGAACUUUAAAUCUGGUUGGGUAAAAAAAUCGUUAGUAUACUGUGACUGUCCCUGUGAGAACUGGUCGUAUUCUUAUAUACUCCACUUUUUAAAUUAAUAAUGACAACUUUUAACAAUGUCAUCAUAUUUUCCCCUACAGGAGCCUCAACGAUAAUUGAUUCCUGUCAAUCAAGUAAGCAGUUAACCCGAUAUCUUAAUUUCUCACCAAUCUAACCUGGUGCAGUCGACACGCUUUUGUACUUCGAUGUCAGUUAUCUAUUUCGUAAGCGAUGUCAAGUUCCAACGCUCAAGCAGCAGAUUGUAUAGUUAAUGCAAUACACAAAUCAUUUAAAAAAAAACGCCAUUGGCAUUUUUGUAACGGCGAUGUCAAGUUAGUUGAUUGCAUAAUAUCUGCAAUAAAUAUUACAUUUGUAAAACGGAAUUGACCUUUACCUAGUAGAUCAAUGAUUUUAUCUUUCAUCUACAUCUACGACACUGGAAAAAGGAACUUUGUUGGAAUUUUUAAACUUGUCAGUGAAAAAAACCCAGUGAAUAACGGGCGAUUUGAAUCUGAUGAAAACUGGUUUUUCACCCAAACUUUAACUGAUAUUUGUUGAAUUUAUUGAAAACAGAACAUUGCUGUUGAAAGCAGUGCCGAAAUUUUCUUUAAAAAAGAAAUACGACAUUGGAAUGAAAUCACUGAAACUUGGCUUAAACUUUUUUUUACAUUCCCGUAAUUUUUUCAAUAAAGAACUAUCAUUUCAUGUUCAGGGGGAGGGUUGGGAUGGAAUCAGUUACAAAAAAAGUAGAGAAAAACAGGCAGGACGAAAUUUUUUAUAAAAAGGUCAUGAUAAGAAAAUGGCAGGACUGAUGACUGAUAACAGCGAAUAUAUAAGAACGCAUGCAGGAUAGAGAUUACAACACGUGAAAUAAAAUACAGGACAACAUGUUUCACCCUAGCCUUCCGUAUCAAUCAAAUGGUAACUCCCGAAGUCGGGACGUAUGGCAAACAACAUUGCACAUUUACUCUGGCUGCAACAAAAGUGUGAGACACACAUAGAAACCAUUUACUUUUUUAAAUGUAAAAAAACCAUGCAGACAUCAGUAUUUAAUUUUUAUUAACACUCGACAACGAAUAUUCCAUAUUUUCUUUUUUCCUCUUGUCUGUAAUCGUCCGAACACAUUCUUCACCGCUAAGCUUUUCUUUUGUUGGACAGCAUCUGUUUUGAACUCGAAAGAGCAUCAACAUAAUGGGGGUCUAUAUUGGCUCUCAGGCCAUAUAUACGGUGCAGUUUUCAACGGGUAAUUAUCAAUUAGAUCAGAUCCGAAUUGUCAUGAUAAAUACGAUAAUCUGAGGACUAUGUUCUUCGUGAUAACUAAGAAAUAAAUGAAUGAAGAUGAAUGUAGUUAGUAAUACCUUAGCUAUACCUAAAACGGAUCACUUCUUAGAAUUUGGAAUAAAUCAAUGGGGUCCUAUUUCACGGAGAAACAUGUUUCUUAAAUGCAAUGAAACAGUGUUGAAGGCCUUACAUUGACCUAUAAUGGUUUACUUUUAUAAAUUGUUAUUUUGAUGGAGAGUUGUCGCAUUGUCACUCACACCACAUCUUCCUAUAUCUAUAAUUGCUGAGAACGAAAUUUCUCUUUGUCUAAUUUACAAAAUGACAUCCCUUUUGUUCAGUUAUCGUUGAUAUUUUUGCACAUUGCAAAUUUCGUUAUACACGGCAAUACAGAAAAGAUAAUUCUUACAGUUUUGUCUCUCCUAGAAGAAACCAAAAAUCGAGACAUAUGUUCAUGUAUAUGCUGUUUCCAGCAUCAGAGGGUGGCUUUGAACAUCGUAUUACAAGUUAAUUUGUGACUGAAACUUGCUUAGUUAACAUGUAUUAGUUUGAUAAGGCCUGAGUUAAAGGAUUCAACCACUAGUGUUAGUCAAUGUUAUUUGGUAUGCAUUUAAACUAGCAUUGGUGCAUCUCAUUUCCAUGAAAAAUUAUUUGAUCCUGCACCAACUGCCAUGGCCUAUUGACUUUAAAACGUUUGCUAAGUCUUCAUGUAUUAGUUUGUGAUUAGGUCACUUUAUGGGGAACCCCUAGUUGAACUAGCAUAGUACAUACAUCCUCAUUUCCAUCGAGAUUAAUUGACCCUACCCCUUCAGUCAUGGUCUGAAGAUUUUGAAACUUUUGCUUAGUUUACAACUGUAUUAGUUUGUGAUAAGGUUAAUUAAUGCAACAUAUUGUGAUAUGUAAAUGAUAUUUGGUAUGCAGUUUAACUGGCAUUGAUACAUCUCAUUUCCAUGGAGAUAAUCUGACCCUGCUCAAUCUGUCAUUGUCUAUUGAUAAUUGGUAUGCAUAUGGCAAAUUUUCAUUUUCAUGGAGAUUGUUCAGCCCAUAAUACCUUCAGUCAUGGUUCAUUGACUUUGAAUAUUUUGCAUUACUUACAUGUAAAACUUUAACUAUUUUGAUUUCAACAUUAACAUUUUAGUGUCAGCAUAACAAAAAAAAUUGGUCAUCUCUGUGUAAACAAUUUAUUAAACAUAAUUCUGACACACUUAGAAAAAUUAAGACAUUUUUCAGAAAUUCUGAAUUUGUCUGAAUCAUACUCUUACUGAUGCAUACAGAUUUUUAAUUCGUCUUACAUUCUUGGAUAUAUUUCUGACACUUUCAGAAAAAUUCAGACACUUUCAGAAGUUCUUAAUUUGUCUGAAUAAAAUUCUUAAUGAUUCAGAAAUAUUCAGCAAAAAUUCAGAAUUGUAAGCAUCAAUUCAGAAUAGAAAUAUCAGGAUUCAGAAAAAUUCAGACAUCAUUUAUCAUGUAAGAAAAUUUCAGAAAUAAUUCAGACAUUUUCAGACACAUUCAGAUAAUAUUCAGAUUUUUUUUUUCAUGAGGGAAAUUACAUGUAUUAAUAUUUUCCUGAUCUACACUUCUAUGUAAAUUGCUUGAUGAUGACAGAAGUAUUUAACAACCUUGACUGACUAACAUGGCUCGCACAGUUAGCAAUUAUUUGAUUCUCACAUGGAAGGAAUUUUUUAAUUUUUUAAUUUUUAUCUGACUAGUACUAGCUGGUCAAUAACCAACACAUGCAAGUCUAAACCAUAAUAUAUAUAGAAUCCUGCCUACACAAUUUUAACACCGUUUUAUCUAAUGAUGUCAGCAUUGAUGAAAAUUUCACACAUUUAGAUCAGUCAACUUCAGCCUCAUUCUAAAAAAUAUAUAGUUUUCAAUUUUAAGGGGAAAUAACCCUCUUUUUUUUUCAACUAUAAUAAUGCAAUCUGUAAUUUAAUUGUUUAAUGGCAUAUAAGUCAAGAAAAUGGAGAACAAUCUGUUUUAGUUUUAAUUAGUAAGGACUUUAAAGUGCUUCCUGAGUGAAUAAAGUAUAACAGUAUACUAUAUGCACCAAAAGUAUUCUGUUAUUUUAAUACAUUGUCAUAUAAUAAAUUAUCAGAGUUUGUCAGUCAUGUAAAAGAAUGAUAAUGUGACAAUUUGCAUAAAAGGAUGAUUUCUCAGAGCUUUUAGAAAUUACCAUAGAAAUGACUUGUCAUUGAUUGAAGCUAAAAUAACAUAUGGCUUGUUCGUUGUUACAUAACAAGUAAUAAAGCAAGAUAAAUAUAUACAUUGGAGGCUUUAAGUUAUUGGACUCGGCAGUCUGUAUGGAUAAUGUAAUAUCUAUGGAAAGUCAGACAUAAAACAAAUAUUAUUACGACUAUCGGGUACUGGUAACCCAUAACCAAUACUUUGUAAUAAUUUGGUCUUUUCACACUCUACAUGGUAAUUUUUAAUUGCAUUUAAUAAAGAGUGAAGAAUACUGAUAAUUUGGAAAUUUUGACAAAAGAAAACAUUAUAAAAGAAAUGAGCGACUGUUAAAGAGACAAUAACCUGACCAAUUGGGCCCCCUUUUGUGGAACCUUUUUUGUUGGUUACUAUAUAGGGAAUCACUGAAGCAUUAUGCGAGUUGGCCCCUCUUAUAGCCAGCCAGUUAUAAAAAUUUCUGAACCAGCCACUGUCUUCAAUGCAGCAAGAAAAUCCUGCUCCAUAUUUGGUCAGGUUGUUGUCUCUUUGACACAUUCCCCAUUUGCAUUCUCAGUUUUAUUAACAAUUUGUUUAAAAUGAACUAUAAUAAUGAGAGAUUGUCCAUCAUGAAAGACUAUGUGAAUUAUAGAUUUAUUUUUAAUGUAUGUGUACCCCCAAACUUCCUUAAAAUUUACCCAGUCCUAGAUCAGAGACCUCUGGAUUGAAAUGUUUUUGGACAUUUAUAGUGUGUAAACUCUUCCUUUCACUGAGGCAGUCCCAUUUGCAGAUCAAGGUGAACGUUGACUUUAUUUUGAGAGAGCCUUGAAUGAAGAUUCUAGGAGAAGUGCUAAAGUCACAUGUGCUGUUGAUGGAGGGGGGAAUGUAGAGGUGGUGCCAUCUUUAAUUCUCAGUAAAAAUAAGCGCUGAAUCCAGAGCUAGCUUAAAAAUGUGUGAACUCUCUCUGAUCCCUUAAAGAAUUAAUCAUAAGGUAACAACAACACAACAAAAAACACUUUAUUAAUUCAGAUAGAAUGUUAUCUUGUAAACAAAUUUCAUUAUGAAAAACUUAAUGAAAACAAAUUGUUACGGGCUCUGUGUUAAUUCUAAUUUGGACAAAGAGCACGGAAUAACUUGAUGUAAUUAUAGUACUCUACUGACAAUAACAACAUGAGGAAUAUUUAUAACGGCAGCUAUAUAUUGCCUUUGAACAGGGCCAGGAAGUUGGAGAAAUUAUUUCUGUUUUUGCUUUGACGAUUAUUACGACGCUGAAAUUGUAGAAAUAGUCAUAUCCUGUGGGUAAUGGAUUUCUGAAAUGUAUGACUGACGUCAAUUUCAGUUGUUAAGUAACGAUUGAUUUUCACCAAUCUUAAUGAGUUACUAUUAUAAAAAGUUGUCUUUGUAUGAUUUUAUAUUUAAAUAAUAAUUUGAAAAAAAUCAUUCAAGAAUUUGCAUCUCUUUUAUCUAAUAUUUAAUGAUCGAAAAAUGUUGCAUUCAUUUAAUUAGAAUUUAUUGACUAUGGUGUUAUAAUGAAUGGGUAGUUUGAAAGGAGGAAAAUAGCCCAAAAUUGAUAUUGAUUUUGGUACUGAGGUAAUUACAAACUACAGCUAGAAGUAGGUUUUCUUUUCAUAGAUUUUGUGAUUUUCUAGAGCAGAAGUUUGUAAGAUUAAUUCUCCUUAAAAGCUGACUUUCGAUUUCACGGUUUUAUAUUAUUAAAUAACCUUAACCUUUGAAUUGAUUAUAUACCUUGAAACUUGUUUUUCAUAUAGUAAUAAAGACUAAGAUUAAUUAAGUACAUCAGUUUUAAUGGAUUAUAUACCUUGAAACUUUUAUGGGGGGAGACUCUGUAUGUCCAUUAGCAAAUCCAGGGAUGGGCUCAGAGGUUUAUAAAAAAACAUUUUAAUCACGUAAAAAUUAUGAUCGAUCAGAUCCUUUGUAACUUUUACCAGAUUUGUCUGACCAUAUGAUUUAUUUAGAAUGAUGGAGGCUGCUAUGUUUGACGGAACUUAAAUUUAUGUGUGAAAUUAUAUCAAUGCUGACAUCAAUAUAAGGAUUAAAACAGUGUGAAAAUUGCGUAAUAAGAAUUUUAUUAUAAACUAACCAUGCAGUACUUCUGGCUGGUUAUAUAACCAGUUAAGUACUGCAUGGUUAGUUGAAAUUUAAAAAAAUAAAAACUAUAUAAGAGACUUUAGAAAAUAUUUUUCUUUGAUUGGUGAAUUAAGCAAUAUUAUAUAUAUUUACAACCAAAAAUACAUAUAUACUCGUUACAGGAGGGAUUAAUUUUCAAAGAACUGUUGCAAUUGUGCUUGAAUUAUUUACUAAAUUAGUGAAAUAUUCCUGUAAAAGUAUUGCUUUGAGCUUUCUCUAAAUACUUAAGUAUAAUCAUAGAUACCAUAUGGAAUCUUUAGGCUUGAAUUUUAGAGGUUUGUAUUUUUUCUACAUCAUCUAAUUUAGUCAAAAAUGGAGCUUUUAUGUACUUUCAAAAAUAGUUUAUUAUCAACAGAGACUAAUUGUAGACCUGUGACUUUUGUUGUAUUCUUUUAAAAGGGACUUAGAAAUAAGGUGUCAACACCAAAUUUACUUCAAAUGACGUACAUGCUUUCAAUCCAAGUUCAGUGAUCUAUAUUUUGAUUACAUAGAUUUGAUAUGUGUGAAAAUAUUAUCUGUUUAUCGUGAUUAGGUCUAAAACAGGUGUGAACAAAAAUUUAAAGUCAGUGAGCAGCUAACUCGAAUAAUUCAAGCCCUGUUUUUCGUGUUUGAUUUUCUCCCACACGAGGAAAUGCUCAUAGAUCAGCGGAAUAUAACGACUGAAUUAUUCGGGUUAGUGAGCAGCUUGUGGAUUAGGAGACAACAAUCUGUAUGUUGUACUCAGGAAAAGACCUCUGUUCAAAUCACACACUGUCUUUUAAAAACAACUCUGAUAAGAGUCCAAAGAGGCAUCUGUUGAGGUGUAAUAUACGCAUUUGUCGUUAACUUCAGGAGAAAUACACUUAAGCUCUGCUGUGGUUAUGGGGAAAGGGCAUUCAAUCAUUGACAGUGACAUAUGACAGCAAACUCCAUUUAGCCAUGUGAAUCAUUUAUUUUGAAAUGCAGCUACUCUAAACCUACUAACUCUUAUAAUAAUUUUGGACAUUGUUUUGAAGAUACAGUUGGUUUAUUGACUCAUAUAUUUCUGCCUUUCAAGAAGAGAGGGGGGGCGGGGGUUUGACAAACAAUAAAACGUGGUUUAAAAUAGACGGUAUAUACUACAGACUGUCAUAAUACUUUCAGGACUAUAUAAUAGCCAAUUACAAUUUGCUUCUAAUGUUUUUUUUUUUUAAAUGAUAAUGUUAUAGCAGCAUUUGGUUACUGUGAUUCUUAAAUUAAUAUUGUGGAUUCCAAUAUUCUUGGAUUGAGGGGAAAAAUUGGCUUUUUAUAAUGCUUGAUUUUGUGGUUUAGCGAAAUUAUGUAUAAAUUUUCACUGAGUUAGUACAUGUGAUUAUUUAGGGGUCAACUGAAGCCAGACUUGGUUGUGGGAUUUGAGUAUUCAUUCUGUUGAAGACCCAGUGGUGGCUUAAGCUGUUUUUUGCUCUUUGGUCCGGUUGUAAUCUCUUGGUAUGGACAUAUUCCCCCAUUUACAUUACCACUUUCAGUUUUAUUUUAUACACCUAUUAUAGGUAAUUUUUAUUUCUUCAAUCGCUUGAAUUACAAUGAUAGCUCACUUAUACCCACAAAAUUCCAUAUAUAGACAAUUAUAGUGCAUUGACUCGACAUAUCAACGAUAUAAGGAUGAGGCUUAGAAACGGGGAAAUGCGAGGCUGUGCCGAGCUAUUUCCCCGUUUCGGGCCGAAUCCUUAUAUCAAGUCAAUGCACUAUUAUUGUCUUUAUACUGCAAUCUAAAAAAACAUUUUCAAUUGUUGUUUAAUGCGUUAAGGUUAUUUGUUUGAUUUAAAUAUUUGGGGAAAUCCCCUUUAAAAAGACCUCAUAUGCUCACGGAGAAAUUUUCAACACAAUGAAAUGUACAUUUACCUGUUGAAACCCACACUCGAUGGUGAACGAAAUCAUUUGAGUAUGGACUAAAAUAUCAACCAUAAGCAUAACAAGUUAAUGAUUUAUAGGUUGUAAACAAAAAGUAUUAAUAAAUGAAAUAUGUUUUUCCAUUAAUUGCAAAAGAAACAAGGUUGAGUCGUUCCACGCAUCGUUGUAUGCAUUGGAAACAAAAACAGGUUGAAGAGGUCGUAUGAAUAAUUAAAUGUUAUUUCGGCAACUUCUAUUUAAAUAUUCAUGAGGAAAAGUGAUAUCGGGUCAGUGACUGUAUAUGACAAAGAAAUAUACAGUCAACGCAUUUUGACUGCUCAAAUAGAACGAGUGCAGUAUAAAAAUAAGUAACAAAUCUGUAACAAAUAAAAUCAGAGUAAUUAUUUUUAUUUAAUUUAUUUUUUCAGAGGUUUCCAAGAUGCCUAUGAUGGAUUCAAUUUAUCGGUAUCGUCGUGAUGUGGGUGAAUCCACAUCGCCGUCUGCUGGCAAUGGUAGUGGAGGAUCUGGUACCAUGGCAAACGAUGUGGCUGCUUCCACAGCCAAACCAUCAGCUAUGGAUAAUCUAAAGAAUAAAAUUAUGGAUGAGAUUAACUCUU